This is a long non-coding RNA of Oncorhynchus keta (chum salmon), 873 nucleotides long. RefSeq lists it as uncharacterized. The record is from RefSeq and is a predicted model, not a curated record. The transcript is spliced from 2 exons. NCBI's taxonomy places the organism in Eukaryota, Metazoa, Chordata, Actinopteri, Salmoniformes, Salmonidae.
GUUUGAGUGACGUUUGAGUGACGUUUGAAAUGGAGCUUUGGUGGUUUUAAACUGCAUGUGUUCAUUGUAAUCCCUAUCAACAAGUUAAGAGCACCAACUGGCUGUGUUCAACAGUGUUGGGGAAAUGUUUUUGCCACGACCUUUUGCUUACAGAAUGGACUCACUUUCCCUGAGGUUGUCUUAACCGCAUGAUCGACCUGGCUAUGACCAAAGAACUGUUGUACCUGGCCAUAGUGGCCCUUCAAAGCUCCCUGGUCCUGUCGCAUCUGGGAGUUGUGGUGUUGUCCCAGUGUUCAGCGUUCUGAUCCGAACUCCUAUAAAAGGAUUCAUAAGACUGCUGCUUCCCCCUUCAUUCCUCAGACUCCUGAACAGGCUGGGUGUGUUCCUGCUGGAGUACCUUACCCUAGUUUAUUUCCACUACCUCACCUUUCAGUCUCCAAGUAAGUUCCAGACAGGGCUUCUCUCAGAUUGAAUGUCUGAAGACCAACGGUUCCCACUUCCUGAGGGUGCAGUGGCGGCAGGUUCUAUUCCAGCCCCACUCCCUGCUACAGCAGCCCCACCCUGAGUUGUUAGACCAGAGCCUAGCCAGGAAGGGCUUGAGGCUAAUUAUGGUGAGCUGUUCAUCACUGAAGAUCCCUGCUGGCACCAUCAGCCAUUUCAGAACCUGCUAUGAGCAUGGGAAUGACCAAUGUAGCUCGUCCAGCUUCAUCUGGUACCAUCCUACUGUCACAUACAAACAGCUGUUUCCUGAACCCAGUGAUACCAAGGUAAAGAGGACUCUAGCUCUGCCAAGGGUCAGGUUGGCUCCAGUCCUUCCCAGCAGAGCCAGGGAGUAACUAUGGUUUUCAUGACAGUACUGUCAUGAAACCACAG